AUGACGAAGAUGGACAUGACCACGAUGAGCGCCGCGAAGAGGAUGAACACCCCCCACCGGAGGUGGCACAUGGCCGCCAGGAAGCACUGCGCCACCGCCGCCGUCCAGAACAGGUUCACGCACACCACCACGCUCUGCCCCGCCGACCGCAUCUCCAGCGGGAACAACUCGCUCGGCACCAGCCACCCCAGCGGCCCCCACGACCACCCGUACGCCACCACGAACAAGCAGAUGGCCACCACCAGCACCGUGCUCACGCCCUUGGACAGCUCCUCCCCGGCCCCGGCCUCGAUGAACAGCACCCGCCGCCCGAGCCGGUCCACCACCACCAUGGACACCAGCGCGCCCACCACCAGCAUGGAGCCCGUGAUGAUGGAGGAGUAG
Molecule: ribosomal RNA, 384 nt
Filed under: Triticum aestivum (bread wheat)
Lineage: Eukaryota; Viridiplantae; Streptophyta; Magnoliopsida; Poales; Poaceae
Description: partial small subunit ribosomal RNA
Source: RNAcentral